RNAcentral lists this long non-coding RNA (323 nucleotides) under Cricetulus griseus (Chinese hamster). RNAcentral's name for it is "lncRNA (ENSCGRG00015029244.1)". Lineage: Eukaryota; Metazoa; Chordata; Mammalia; Rodentia; Cricetidae. The record is from RNAcentral.
GGGACAACUGACUGUAACUUGAAUUGGCUCAUGAACCAGAAUAUAGGAAAGUGAAUCUCCAAGAGAAAGGGCCAGAUAAAGAAAACAAAUUAUACUGUUACCUGAGGUGGAAAUAUCAACAUGUAGAACUCACAGCUCCUUCUCCAGAACCAUGUAUGCCUGCAUGCCAUCAUAUCCUACCAUGACAAUGGACUGACCCUCUGAACUUAAGCCACCCAAUUAAAUGUUAAGUGUUACCAUGGUCAUGGUGUCUAUUCAGAAUAUUAGAAAUUCUAACUAAGGAUUCUCUGAAAUUUGAGAGGAGGGACUUGAUGGAGACAUCC